RNAcentral lists this long non-coding RNA (427 nucleotides) under Elaeis guineensis (African oil palm). RNAcentral's name for it is "long non-coding RNA (EGUI_LNC047316)". The record is from RNAcentral. Lineage: Eukaryota; Viridiplantae; Streptophyta; Magnoliopsida; Arecales; Arecaceae.
UAUACAUUGAAACAUGAUCUAUAAAAUGGUUAUUCAUAUGGUACUUGAUCUUUAUAUUUUAAAACACGAUAUUGGAUCUUAAUUAUUGAUGAUAAAAAAAUUUUAUCGCUAAUAUUUUAUUAUUUAUGAUGAAACAACUUCAUCAUUAAUAAUUAAAAAUUAUAAAUUUAAAAAAAUAGCUUCCGAUACUGAAAAAGAAUCAUUCUCCCAGAUCCAAACUUUGUUGGAUGAUGCAAUAAAAUUCUUCACCCAUAACUGAAUCAACCAUCUAUAAGAUCUAGGAGCAAACCGCCUUAGAAAAUUAAAUGCAAGAAAUUUGAUUCAGAAAAAAAUGUCAACUUUUAACUGUAUAAAGAAUAAAACUUUAUCAACUGUUCGAUGGACUAAAAUAUGUCAUUUACUUCUAAACUAUGUGCAGAAGGCCUUU